UAGAUAGUACCUUACUACUUGGAUAACCGUGGUAAUUCUAGAGCUAAUACAUGCUAAAAACCCCAACUUCGGGAGGGGUGUAUUUAUUAGAUAAAAAACCAAUGCCCUUCGGGGCUCCUUGGUGAUUCAUGAUAACUUCUCAGAUCGCAUGGCUUUACGCCGGCGACGGUUCAUUCAAAUUUCUGCCCUAUCAACUUUCGAUGGUAAGGUAGUGGCUUACCAUGGUUUCAACGGGUAACGGGGAAUUAGGGUUCGAUUCCGGAGAGGGAGCCUGAGAAACGGCUACCACAUCCAAGGAAGGCAGCAGGCGCGCAAAUUACCCAAUUCCGAUACGGAGAGGUAGUGACAAUAAAUACUGAUACAGGGCUCUUUUGGGUCUUGUAAUUGGAAUGAGUACAAUUUAAACCUCUUAACGAGGAACAAUUGGAGGGCAAGUCUGGUGCCAGCAGCCGCGGUAAUUCCAGCUCCAAUAGCGUAUAUUAAAGUUGUUGCAGUUAAAAAGCUCGUAGUUGAACCUUUGGCCUGGCUGGCAGGUCCGCCUCACCGCGUGCACUUGUCCGGCCGGGCCUUUUCUUCUGGAGAACCGCAUGCCCUUCACUGGGUGUGUUGGGGACCAGGACUUUUACUUUGAAAAAAUUAGAGUGUUCAAAGCAGGCCUUUGCUCGAAUACGUUAGCAUGGAAUAAUAGAAUAGGACGUGCGGUCCUAUUUUGUUGGUUUCUAGGACCGCCGUAAUGAUUAAUAGGGACAGUCGGGGGCAUCAGUAUUCAAUUGUCAGAGGUGAAAUUCUUGGAUUUAUUGAAGACUAACUACUGCGAAAGCAUUUGCCAAGGAUGUUUUCAUUAAUCAGUGAACGAAAGUUAGGGGAUCGAAGACGAUCAGAUACCGUCGUAGUCUUAACCAUAAACUAUGCCGACUAGGGAUCGG
RNAcentral lists this ribosomal RNA (926 nucleotides) under Pseudopithomyces sp. DNW-2018b. RNAcentral's name for it is "SSU rRNA". It matches the Rfam family "Eukaryotic small subunit ribosomal RNA", at positions 121 to 1056 of the family's 1831-position model. Lineage: Eukaryota; Fungi; Ascomycota; Dothideomycetes; Pleosporales; Didymosphaeriaceae. The record is from RNAcentral.